CGAAGAUCCCUCCCAAAGCACCCAUUGCCUGGGAAGUUCUGGUGUUAACAUGUUAUGGAGCAGCUGCACACGGUGUUGCACAGGACUUAACUUCGCGUCCUUGGCUUGCUUAGAGAGGGUGCUUCAAAACAAAUGUGCCUUUUGAGAAAUUGUGGCACAUCAAGUUAUUUGAAUUGGUCAUGUGAAGGAUUUUAGAUGCAUCCCUGAAUCUCCAGUAAGGUGUGUAGUUUCUGGGUGAGACCAAGGAAAAGCUGUGUAGCUGAAGUAGAAAAUGAAAAAUACAACCUGCAAUGGCAUCUUCUUAGUGUUGGAAAUUCUCUUUUUAGGUUACUCUGCUGUGAGCCAGAGAGUGCAGCUUUCUGACCAGACGCUGCAAUUUCCUGGACAGAGCCACUUCCUGUUAUUCAAAGGGAGCUGAUUCACUUCAACUGAUAAAGUUAUUUUGUGUUUGAGUAGGUUUCUUUACUGCAAGAGUCAGGAAUGCUUGGCACAUGUUAAAUGGUGGUUUCCAAAUCCCACAACGUGCUAUGGGCAUUCCAAGUGCUACAUCAUUAAUCAGCUGAUUUAAUUUACACUAAAAACAUCAUGAUGCAGUAAUUGUCAUUAGAGGCUAAAGCAGAGGGGAUAGGAACUCUUAGUAAAAGAGAAGGUAACAUAUAACAGAGUAAAGAAAGGCUCAGUUACAGCCACCUGGAGAAUGGCAAAAGGGAAAUCUGACACUCACAACCGGUCAGAUCCCCAGUCCACUGGAAUCACUACAUUUGGAAGAAGGUAAAACUCUGUUUCAUUUAAUAUCCUGUGCAUCAACGUGGUCAAUGAGCAUAACAGAACUGGUAUUUAUGGAGAGAUUGCUCUUUGGAUAGCUGGAGGAAAAGAGAAACUGGGGAAAGAAGUGGAGGGGAAAGUAAUUGGCAUAAAAAGCAAGGGCCACAUUAGAGAAAAAAACAGAUUCCCUACUGAAUUUAUCACUGGGCUUGGGGAGCUGUUUGUUUUAAUUUCAAAACUAUUCAUCAACAAAGUAUAGAAAAAGGGAACACAGAAUUUUAAGUCCAGUGUGUUUAGUCUUCUAGUGCUUCUUCAGCAUUCAAGAUACAGUUCUGCUUCCAAAGCAGCAGCUUUACCUGUCAGUCAGGAAAGCAGGACAUGAAAGUCAAGUGACAGUAAGUACGCUGUGCUUAAAAUAGAAUGCCUUUUGCUCCAGAAUUUCAAAAUGCAACAAAAGACACUCCUAAAGUAAGAGUCCCUUCACAAUGCUCUGUAAAAGGUACCAGUAUUACACUUUUCCCCCUAAAAGGAAGUUCAGGAAGCUUCAAAUAUUUCUUGUAAAAGGAAUACUUUAAAAAAUUUCUGACUCUCCAUAAAGACCUUAUUAACAGUAUAUCCCAAUUUAAAUAAUCUUUUAAAGAUUACUUGUCUCUUUUUUCUUCCUCUCCUUUAUAUUUGUGAGAUCUUUUUCAGUAGGGGAAAAGUGUGAUGGCAGUAGCUAUGCUUUUUCAAUGCAAAUUGGUAACUGCAGUGCCCGUAUCAGGAUCCACAUAUACCAAUUUGAGAAUGGAGCUGUAUUACUAUAUUUAUAUAACAAAUAACCUUCCACAGGCAAAGAAAGCAAAUAGAAUUUCUUCUGGCUUCAUUAAAAAUAAACUAAAAUAUUUUAAAUUAACUUUGAUUCAUCUUUGUGUGUCUAUGUGUGCUUAUAUGUAUUUGCUGUCCUCUGUUACUCCUAGGUCUCUUUCAGGUUCACGAAUUACCUGGAAAUACCUGUAGCUUUGGAGAAAUUUCUUUGGAGCAUUGUGUCACAUCUUCUACAGCAUGAUAUUCUGUUCCCUAAGUUGCUUCUCCUGGUUUGCUGGAGACUCAGGGACAAUCACCCCCUCUCCUAAAGAACUUGGAGAUUAAUGGUGCUGGAGUUGGAGAAGAAAUGUAGCUGUUGUACCUUAUCUCAGCUUCCAGUGCAGUGGGAGGAAGCGCUGUGGACGGACUCUCACUUCCCUUCAGUUUUGUCUGCCUGCACUUCACGCAUAUACGAGUCAAUGAUGUGCGGAGGCACUCCAUCCAUUAAUAGCUUGAAGAAUGAAAGCCCACCUACAAAGGAGGAAAACAGCUGUUGUCAGUGAGAGUCCCAGCAAAGCUCAGCCUUUUCCUGGAGUUCUGCCUCUUCACUGAGUUAUCUGUGCAUUAACUGUUAUAGCACAGCAUUUAUGAUUUCUUCCACACUGCAUUUGUGACAAACUUACUAUGAAUUUUCUACCAUUACUGUCUAUGGGUACCAUUCAACAGGAAAAAUCUUGGAUCCUGGAUAGACAAGAACCUGAGGGGCUUAACAGAGAAAAAAAGAGACUGACACAUUCCAACAACGCUAUGGUGUAUGGAGGUUUCCUGAGAGACCCCAAAUCUACAGCCAAGUAAUUGAACAUGGAGAGAUAUCCAAGAAAGAUGUGAGCAUUCCCAUUUUCCUGUAGCCUUGGAACAGCUGGAUUCAUUUCUGUUUCUCCAAACAUACCAACAAUCUGAAUGUCUAUCGUGGCUUUGUCCACCAGGUUCUCCACCUCCACUUUCAUGUCGUACUCUCCGGAGUGGCCCCGCUCUGCCUUCCGGAUGAAGAUGAUGGUGUCCUGCUCUGUGUUGCGGAUGUUGAUGUCGUUCUUGUCGAUCGGAGAACCGUUCUUCUCCCAUGACACUUUCGCUCUUGGUUUUCCCUGCAAGGAGCCAGGAAACAAUUUUUGUAUUAUUUUUUUGGAGAGAAAAAGGAAGAGAUGGAAGCAGGUUUAAUUACCAUUUUUACCAAACAGGAAGUGUCCUAGGUUACAAUAUAAAAAUGUAUUCCAUUCCCAUCCUCAAGAGUUGCUGAAACCAGGAGGGGCAUUGGGUUUUUUUUUCCUUAUCUCCUGUUAAUGGGCCCAUCAAUGCCUUGCCACAUGACUCAGAGACAACUCCCUCCAGGAGCCAUUUCUGUUUAAUGGGCAAUCAAGGACCCACCACACGACUCAUAGAAUGAUAUCAGCCCAUUGUGAGAUGCUCUGCCCAGGGGGGAGGAGCUAAGCAUCCUCACCUGGAUAUAAUCUGGGUUUGGGACAGAGCAGUCAGUCUUUCCACUGCAUUCUCAGAGGAAUAACUGCCUUUUCCACUGGAUCUUCAGAGGACGACUACACCCUUUCUACAGGAUCCCUGCUCCAAGAGAACCACAUCUGCCCCUCCAGGACUGCAGCCACCAAUCCAACUAGACUGCUCAACCAAUACCCUGACCAACAGGAUGUCAGGUUGUGUUCUGACUAAAACUACUGACUUUUCUUUUGUAUUACUGGAUGUAUUUUGGUUUUCUUUUCCCUUUUCCUAAUAAAUUGUAUUUCUGA
Long non-coding RNA from Passer domesticus (house sparrow), 3350 nucleotides. RefSeq lists it as uncharacterized. The record is from RefSeq and is a predicted model, not a curated record. The transcript is spliced from 5 exons. NCBI's taxonomy places the organism in Eukaryota, Metazoa, Chordata, Aves, Passeriformes, Passeridae.